Molecule: ribosomal RNA, 433 nt
Filed under: uncultured bacterium
Lineage: Bacteria
Description: partial 16S ribosomal RNA
Rfam family: Bacterial small subunit ribosomal RNA
Source: RNAcentral
AACGAACGCUGGCGGCAUGCCUAACACAUGCAAGUCGAACGAGACCUUCGGGUCUAGUGGCGCACGGGUGCGUAACGCGUGGGAACCUGCCCUUAGGUUCGGAAUAACUCCCCGAAAGGGGUGCUAAUACCGGAUAAUGUCUUCGGACCAAAGAUUUAUCGCCUUUGGAUGGGCCCGCGUUGGAUUAGCUAGUUGGUAGGGUAAAAGCCUGCCAAGGCGACGAUCCAUAGCUGGUCUGAGAGGAUGAUCAGCCACACUGGGACUGAGACACGGCCCAGACUCCCAAGGGAGGGCGGAGGGGGGAAUAAUGGAACAUUGGGGAAAGGCUUAUCCAGCAAUGGCGGGGUAGGGAUGAAGGGCUUAGGGUUUGAAAGCUCCUUUACCCGGGAUGAUAAUGACAGUACCGGGAGAAUAAGCUCCGGCUAACUCCGUG